GUGGGGAAUUUUGGACAAUGGGGGCAACCCUGAUCCAGCCAUGCCGCGUGCGGGAAGAAGGCCUUCGGGUUGUAAACUGCUUUUGUACGGAACGAAACGGUCCUGGUUAAUACCUGGGGCUAAUGACGGUACCGUAAGAAUAAGCACCGGCUAACUACGUGCCAGCAGCCGCGGUAAUACGUAAGGUGCGAGCGUUAAUCGGAAUUACUGGGCGUAAAGCGUGCGCAGGCGGUGCUGUAAGACAGGCGUGAAAUCCCGGGGCUCAACCUGGGAAUUGCGCUUGUGACUGCAGUGCUGGAGUACGGCAGAGGGGGAUGGAAUUCCGCGUGUAGCAGUGAAAUGCGUAGAUAUGCGGAGGAACACCGAUGGCGAAGGCAGUCCCCUGGGCCUGUACUGACGCUCAUGCACGAAAGCGUGGGGAGCAAACAGGAUUAGAAACCCGUGUAGUCC
Molecule: ribosomal RNA, 450 nt
Filed under: uncultured bacterium
Lineage: Bacteria
Description: partial 16S ribosomal RNA
Rfam family: Bacterial small subunit ribosomal RNA
Source: RNAcentral